Molecule: ribosomal RNA, 496 nt
Filed under: uncultured bacterium
Lineage: Bacteria
Description: partial 16S ribosomal RNA
Rfam family: Bacterial small subunit ribosomal RNA
Source: RNAcentral
GAUGAACGCUGGCGGCGUGCCUAAUACAUGCAAGUCGAGCGAACAGACGAGGAGCUUGCUCCUCUGACGUUAGCGGCGGACGGGUGAGUAACACGUGGAUAACCUACCUAUAAGACUGGGAUAACUUCGGGAAACCGGAGCUAAUACCGGAUAAUAUAUUGAACCGCAUGGUUCAAUAGUGAAAGACGGUUUUGCUGUCACUUAUAGAUGGACCCGCGCCGCAUUAGCUAGUUGGUAAGGUAACGGCUUACCAAGGCGACGAUGCGUAGCCGACCUGAGAGGGUGAUCGGCCACACUGAAACUGAGACACGGUCCAGACUCCUACGGGAGGCAGCAGUAGGGAAUCUUCCGCAAUGGGCGAAAGCCUGACGGAGCAACGCCGCGUGAGUGAUGAAGGUCUUCGGAUCGUAAAACUCUGUUAUUAGGGAAGAACAAAUGUGUAAGUAACUAUGCACGUCUUGACGGUACCUAAUCAGAAAGCCACGGCUAACUACGU